GCCGGCGAGUGGCGAACGGGUGAGUAAUGUAUCGGAACGUGCCCAGUAGCGGGGGAUAACUGGCCGAAAGGUCAGCUAAUACCGCAUACGCCCUACGGGGGAAAGGGGGGGAUUCUUCGGAACCUCUCACUAUUGGAGCGGCCGAUAUCGGAUUAGCUAGUUGGUGGGGUAAUGGCCUACCAAGGCGACGAUCCGUAGCUGGUUUGAGAGGACGACCAGCCACACUGGGACUGAGACACGGCCCAGACUCCUACGGGAGGCAGCAGUGGGGAAUUUUGGACAAUGGGGGAAACCCUGAUCCAGCCAUCCCGCGUGUGCGAUGAAGGCCUUCGGGUUGUAAAGCACUUUUGUCAGGGAAGAAAAGGUUCUGGCUAAUACCCGGAACUGAUGACGGUACCUGAAGAAUAAGCACCGGCUAACUACGUGCCAGCAGCCGCGGUAAUACGUAGGGUGCAAGCGUUAAUCGGAAUUACUGGGCGUAAAGCGUGCGCAGGCGGUUCGGAAAGAAGGAUGUGAAAUCCCAGGGCUCAACCUUGGAACUGCAUUCUUAACUACCGAACUAGAGUAUGUCAGAGGGGGGUAGAAUUCCGCGUGUAGCAGUGAAAUGCGUAGAUAUGCGGAGGAAUACCGAUGGCGAAGGCAGCCCCCUGGGAUAAUACUGACGC
Molecule: ribosomal RNA, 665 nt
Filed under: Advenella sp.
Lineage: Bacteria; Pseudomonadati; Pseudomonadota; Betaproteobacteria; Burkholderiales; Alcaligenaceae
Description: bacterial SSU rRNA
Rfam family: Bacterial small subunit ribosomal RNA
Source: RNAcentral